ACAAAUAAGGCAAUGUCAUGAUGACACAGACCACAACAGCUGUGAUCGGUCGGCUCGUUCAUGUCUCUUAUUGGUUGGACCAGCACAGAAAACUCCUCCUUCUGCCUCUGUCAGUUCAGAGGUCGUACACCAUCUCCUCCAAUGUCUUCUCUCUUUAUUGUGUCGCUGUAAUUUCAUUAAAAGUAACAGAGGGUAUGCACGUGACAACAUAGCACAUGGAAGUCACUGCAGUUAUGCCCACUGAUUGGCAGAAAGACUGAUUGGCAGUGUUAGCCGCCAAAAUUUAAAAACAAUAUCCAAAAUGAGGAAUCGAUUGUCGGAGCUAUCUUUCUACAGGCUACUGAAAGCCACAGAAAAGAGAAGGAGAUGGAUCGCUACUAUUCGCAGACACAACUGGAAUCCAGGCACUGAAACCUGGAUUUACAGUUCCCAUUUCAUGUCAGUGAUUCAUCAGACAUGGAGCGGAGCGGGGACAGAGUCUUCUCUGCUGCUGAAUGACCAGGACUUCAGUCUCAGUGUGAUGUCCACAGAUCCACCAGCUGGGAACAUCUGCCUCAGACUUUCAGUUCAGAGGAAACAUGUCCUUCAACCUCAAACCUUUUCCCACCCUCUGGUUCGACCCACUAGAAGUCAUAGUGGUUGUACAUGCCCCCACCACCAACACCUUUGGACCUGAGUGAGCAGAUGACAAAGCUGUGGGGACCCAGUCUUGAUCCAGUAUCCAGGUUUAUCUAGUCUGCACUGAGCUUCUCCCCAGCAGCUGGUAUUUUUGUUCUGCUACACUGUUAGAGACUUUUAUGGCACCCCAGCUACAAACAUGAAAAAUGUGAACAGCUGCUGAUAAUUAUGGAAUUUAAUUUAAUGUUUCUGAUGUUAUACAACAGCUGUUAUGUAACUGACUCAACACAAAGACAGACAAACCAAACUCUGAUUCUUGUGGUUUCCUGCCAACAUGGUGAUUUUUUUUAUUAUUUCAUAUUUAUAACUUGUUACUGUAAAGACAAACAGACAUGUUAAAUUCAUUAUGGAAAUAAAAACCUGUGGUUUUGGAUCACAGGACGAACCUGA
Lates calcarifer (barramundi perch) is the source of this 1068-nucleotide long non-coding RNA. RefSeq lists it as uncharacterized. Lineage: Eukaryota; Metazoa; Chordata; Actinopteri; Centropomidae. The transcript is spliced from 3 exons. The record is from RefSeq and is a predicted model, not a curated record.